RNAcentral lists this ribosomal RNA (460 nucleotides) under uncultured bacterium. Its description in RNAcentral is "partial 16S ribosomal RNA". It matches the Rfam family "Bacterial small subunit ribosomal RNA", at positions 338 to 795 of the family's 1533-position model. The record is from RNAcentral.
CCUACGGGCGACAGCAGUGAGGAAUAUUGGUCAAUGGACGAGAGCCUGAACCAGCCAAGUAGCGUGAGGGAUGACGGCCCUAUGGGUGGUAAACUUCUUUUACAUGGGAAUAAAACGUUCCACGUGUGGAAGUUUGCAUGUACCAUUUGAUUAAGGAUCGGCUAACUCCGUGCCAGCAGCCGCGGUAAUACGGAGGUGCCGAGCGUUAUCCGGAUUUAUUGGGUUUAAAGGGAGCGUAGGUGGAUUGUUAAGUCAGUUGUGAAAGUUUCCGGCUCAACCGUAAAACUGCAGUUGAAACUGGACGUCUGGAGUACAGUAGAGGUAGGCGGAAUUCGUGGUGUAGCGGUGAAAUGCUUAGAUAUCACGAGGAACUCCGAUUGCGAAGGCAGUUCACUGGACUGCAACUGACGCUGAGGCUCGAAAGUGUGGGUAUCAAACAGGAUUAGAUACCCGUGUAGUC